UACCCGGGCUACAUGAUCAAACUACAAAAAAGCAAUCGUACUUAAUAUAGUAAUAAGAAUCCAAGUAAGCAAACUCAGAACUCACUACUGAUACAUUAGAUAAGAAUUGACUCUUUCUUUACAACCCGCGGUAUCUUUCUCACCAACCGUAGCCUAGCCUAUUUCUGGAAUUUCAAGUAAACAUAACAACUUAUUCUAAUUAAUUGAAACACAUGAUCAGAAUCAAACACUAAAUCCUUUGACUGAAAUCACUACCGGAAAGAAAUGAGCUGGGGCUAUAGCACCAAACACUAUUACUUGCAUUAUGCUGAUCCUGGCUUAAAGUCUACUGCGGCACUCUCACCUCACUGAAUCGACUCACACUACUCCAAUAAGCAAGCGGCGACCCGAGAACAGAUAGUGAAACUAAAGAAAAAACCAACGGCAAUAAGGCAAAGAGUUGACCAGCGGAAGAACCUGUGUACCGAAAAGUGUUAGUUGACACUUGCAGAAGCAGACGUUGGUUGAUUUAGUCUAUAAUUGGGUAAUAUUCCAUCAAACAAGUAAUGGCUUGCAGAACUCCCUUUAGCCACUGAGUAUGGACCUGGCAUGAAGAAGGAGGGACAUUCUCUAAGUCAGGCAAUCAGGCUUCUUUCUAGUGCUAAUCGGUGAAAGCUGUAAACAGGAAUAUUCUCUUUCGAGCGCCUGUUCUGAGAGACGAGAUACUUUCAUUGCACAGCUGAUUCUCAAGCCUAUUAUCCUAGUGUCCUGAUCCGGAUUGACUUCUCUCUACCCUACUUAGGUAUUGGUAUUUCUCCUGAUUGAUUUCCUUCUCUCUACCCUACUUAGGUAUUGGUAUUUCUCCUGAUUGAUUUCCUUCUCUAACGCCCACUUAUGAUUCCCUCCUUGACAACUUUAGCACCCGAACUCUAGGCCAAGGUCAAUCCAAUAACUUAUUAUUCAUGAUAUGAUUCUCGUCGCCAACAAAGAGAUAUCACACUGCGGAUUCU
RNAcentral lists this long non-coding RNA (989 nucleotides) under Musa acuminata (dwarf banana). RNAcentral's name for it is "long non-coding RNA (MACU_LNC007484)". The record is from RNAcentral. Lineage: Eukaryota; Viridiplantae; Streptophyta; Magnoliopsida; Zingiberales; Musaceae.